Molecule: transfer RNA, 88 nt
Filed under: Planctomycetota bacterium
Lineage: Bacteria; Pseudomonadati; Planctomycetota
Description: Planctomycetes bacterium tRNA-Ser
Rfam family: tRNA
About the family: Transfer RNA (tRNA) molecules are approximately 80 nucleotides in length.
Source: RNAcentral
GGAGAGGUGCCGGAGCGGCUGAACGGACCGGUUUUGAAAACCGGGAGCCCUCGCGGGCUCGUGGGUUCGAAUCCCACCCUCUCCGCCA